Molecule: long non-coding RNA, 426 nt
Organism: Oncorhynchus tshawytscha (Chinook salmon)
Lineage: Eukaryota; Metazoa; Chordata; Actinopteri; Salmoniformes; Salmonidae
Source: Ensembl
AACCUGACAGAUAACUAUGUCUACGGCAGACAGGAUUUCAGAGAAUACAAACUUGGUUUCAUUUAAAGUUGUGUAACAGUCAAAACCCUGUGUGGAUCAGGAUAAAACUCUCUCUGGCUUUACUUUGGACGGUCUGUGUGUCUUUGGAGGAACCACAGGUAUUUCAUGCUGGCUCUACGCUUAACAACAAGCUGUGUGCGUACAGGGGGAAAUUAAUUUACCAGAAAGAGAAGAAGAGAAGACAAACCAUUGAGUCAGAAGAAACCCUUCCUGCUAAACAGACAAGCAAGAAUAGUUAGUUUUCCUGCCGGAACAGGAUCUGGCACCUCAGAUUUGACUUUGUUUGUUUCGGCACCUAUUUACCCGGAUCCAGUACCUCUCAUGAUUUAUUCCAUUUUUCACUGGUCGUACUGUAAACAUUUUAAU